GGAUUAGAUACCCGGGUAGUCCACGCCGUAAACGAUGGAUACUAGCUGUUCGGGGUAACCUGAGUGGCUAAGCGAAAGUGAUAAGUAUCCCACCUGGGGAGUACGUUCGCAAGAAUGAAACUCAAAGGAAUUGACGGGGGCCCGCACAAGCGGUGGAGCAUGUGGUUUAAUUCGAUGAUACGCGAGGAACCUUACCAGGGCUUAAAUGUGGCCUGACAGGACCGGAAACGGUUUUUCCUUCGGGCAGGUCACAAGGUGCUGCAUGGUUGUCGUCAGCUCGUGCCGUGAGGUGUCAGGUUAAGUCCUAUAACGAGCGCAACCCCUGUCGUUAGUUGCCAGCGAGUCAUGUCGGGAACUCUAACGAGACUGCCAGUGCAAACUGAGAGGAAGGUGG
RNAcentral lists this ribosomal RNA (394 nucleotides) under uncultured bacterium. RNAcentral's name for it is "bacterial SSU rRNA". It matches the Rfam family "Bacterial small subunit ribosomal RNA", at positions 775 to 1176 of the family's 1533-position model. The record is from RNAcentral.